RNAcentral lists this ribosomal RNA (484 nucleotides) under uncultured bacterium. RNAcentral's name for it is "partial 16S ribosomal RNA". It matches the Rfam family "Bacterial small subunit ribosomal RNA", at positions 29 to 507 of the family's 1533-position model. The record is from RNAcentral.
AUUGAACGCUAGCGGGAUGCCUUACACAUGCCAGUCGAACGGCAGCGCGGACUUCGGUCUCGCGGCGAGUGGCGAACGGGCGAGUAAUGUAUCGGAACGUGCCCAGCAACGGGGGAUAACUACGCGAAGGCGUAGCUAAUACCGUAAACGCCCUACGGGGGAAAGCAGGGGAUCGUAAGACCUUGCACUAUUGGAGCGGCCGAUAUCGGAUUAGCUAGUUGGUGAGGUAACGGCUCACCAAGGCGACGAUCCGUAGCUGGUUUGAGAGGACGACCAGCCACACUGGGACUGAGACACGGCCCAGACUCCUACGGGAGGCAGCAGUGGGGAAUAUUGGACAAUGGGGGCAAGCCUGAUCCAGCCAUCCCGCGUGUGUGAUGAAGGCCUUCGGGUUGUAAAGCACUUUUGGUAGGAAAGAAACGCCGCGGGCUAAUACCCCGUGGAACUGACGGUACCUGAAGAAUAAGCACCGGCUAACUACGUG